RNAcentral lists this ribosomal RNA (244 nucleotides) under Klebsiella pneumoniae. RNAcentral describes it as "partial 16S ribosomal RNA". It matches the Rfam family "Bacterial small subunit ribosomal RNA", at positions 829 to 1072 of the family's 1533-position model. The record is from RNAcentral. Lineage: Bacteria; Pseudomonadati; Pseudomonadota; Gammaproteobacteria; Enterobacterales; Enterobacteriaceae.
CCCUUGAGGCGUGGCUUCCGGAGCUAACGCGUUAAAUCGACCUCCUGGGGAUUACGGCCGCAAGGAUAAAACUCAAAUGAAUUGACGGGGGCCCGCACAAGCGGUGGAGCAUGUGGUUUAAUUCGAUGCAACUCGAAGAACCUUACCUGGUCUUGACAUCCACAGAACUUAGCAGAGAUGCUUUGGUGCCUUCGUGAAAUGUGAGACAUGUUCUUCAUGGCUGUCGUCAGCUCGUUUUGUGUAA